This 263-nucleotide ribosomal RNA is filed under the name uncultured archaeon. Its description in RNAcentral is "partial 16S ribosomal RNA". It matches the Rfam family "Archaeal small subunit ribosomal RNA", at positions 748 to 1009 of the family's 1478-position model. The record is from RNAcentral.
UAGCCGUAAACGAUACUCGCUAGGUGUCGGCCACGGUGCGACCGUUGUCGGUGCCGUAGGGAAGCCGUGAAGCGAGCCACCUGGGAAGUACGGCCGCAAGGCUGAAACUUAAAGGAAUUGGCGGGGGAGGCACCACAACGGGUGGAGCUUGCGGUUUAAUUGGAUUUCAACGCCGGAAAUCUUACCGGGACCGACAGCAACAUGAAGGCCAAGCUGAAGACUUUGCCGGAUUAGCUGAGAGGAGGUGCAUGGCGUAGUCGUGU